GUGCUAAUCUAUCGCUCCGUUUUCCGUGCGGAACACAGCCGCGGCCUUAGGCUGUGUUCCCAUCUACCAGAUGGGAACUCAUUUCCCCUGCACGGAAAACGGAGCGGUCCAUUAGCGCGU
Molecule: microRNA precursor, 120 nt
Filed under: Oryza sativa (Asian cultivated rice)
Lineage: Eukaryota; Viridiplantae; Streptophyta; Magnoliopsida; Poales; Poaceae
Description: miR2121a stem-loop (osa-MIR2121a)
Source: miRBase by way of RNAcentral